AAUGAACGCUAGCGGGAGGCCUAAUACAUGCAAGUCGAGCGGUAGAAUGACUUCGGUUGCUUGAGAGCGGCGAACGGGUGAGUAACGCGUACACAAUCUACCUUUAAGAGGGGAAUAGCCCUGGGAAACUGGGAUUAAUGCCCCAUGGCAUCACGAAGUGGCAUCGCUUUGUGAUUAAAGCUGAGGUGCUUAGAGAUGAGUGUGCGUCUGAUUAGCUAGUUGGUGCGGUAACGGCGCACCAAGGCGACGAUCAGUAGGGGGCGUGAGAGCGUGGACCCCCACACGGGUACUGAGACACGGACCCGACUCCUACGGGAGGCAGCAGUAAGGAAUAUUGGUCAAUGGAGGAAACUCUGAACCAGCCAUCCCGCGUGCAGGAAGAAUGCCCUAUGGGUUGUAAACUGCUUUUAUCUGGGAAGAAAGUCGGCAUUUAUGCUGAUCUGACGGUACCAGAGGAAUAAGCACCGGCUAACUCCGUGCCAGCA
RNAcentral lists this ribosomal RNA (485 nucleotides) under uncultured bacterium. Its description in RNAcentral is "bacterial SSU rRNA". It matches the Rfam family "Bacterial small subunit ribosomal RNA", at positions 29 to 513 of the family's 1533-position model. The record is from RNAcentral.